Molecule: small RNA, 78 nt
Filed under: Enterobacter kobei
Lineage: Bacteria; Pseudomonadati; Pseudomonadota; Gammaproteobacteria; Enterobacterales; Enterobacteriaceae
Description: isrK
Rfam family: isrK Hfq binding RNA
Source: RNAcentral
GCUGUCGCAAAAUCGGCAGCCGGAAUUGGCGUUCCGUGUAACUUAUUGGCGACUUCAGACGCGCUUUGCGUCUUUUUU